UGGAAUGUUUCACUGUAGCCCUUCCUGUUA
This 30-nucleotide non-coding RNA is filed under the name Mus musculus (house mouse). The record is from RNAcentral. Lineage: Eukaryota; Metazoa; Chordata; Mammalia; Rodentia; Muridae.